RNAcentral lists this transfer RNA (61 nucleotides) under Kikihia paxillulae. RNAcentral's name for it is "tRNA-Glu". The record is from RNAcentral. Lineage: Eukaryota; Metazoa; Arthropoda; Insecta; Hemiptera; Cicadidae.
AUUUAUAAAGUUUAUAAAACAUUUCAUUUUCAUUGAAAAAAGAGACUUAGUCUUAUAAAUA